Molecule: long non-coding RNA, 1171 nt
Organism: Nicotiana attenuata
Lineage: Eukaryota; Viridiplantae; Streptophyta; Magnoliopsida; Solanales; Solanaceae
Exons: 2
Source: RefSeq, a predicted model, not a curated record
UUGGGCUUCUUGGAGCACUAGAUCACACAUGACAACUACUUUCCCACAUUGCCCAAACACUCUUUCUUCAUACCAACACUUUAUUGCCAUCUUUCUAUCUUCUAUUUUUUCCUAUACUAUAAGUGAGAAUAACCAGGCAGCUCAUGGUCAACAUGUCUGCCUGGCCCAAAAAUUAUCUCAUGACCUAAAUUUACAUCCCAACACGUGUAGCCCAAUUUUGAUAGCUGUCAACUCAUCGUUUGAUUUCUCUUACUAACAUCCGACACUUGUGAAAAGCUUCAUCUGCAAAACCCUCUUCUUCAAACGCCUCCCUCUUCGCUUCAUAUCUCUGUUGUCUUGCUCCUCGCCUCUGUCUACUGGUAUUUUCUACUGGUUUUGUAGGAAUAAUGGGUUCUGAACAAAAAAACAAACAUGUUUGCUCCGCAAAAUCGGAAGCUGAGAUGAAACUUAGGCGACAUGAAACAUACAGACUAAUAUCUGCAGAAAAAAAGGAAGCACUGUUACAACAGCGACGAACAAAAAGACGAGUUAAAAAGGAGUGGUCUUUCUGAGAAUGUUGCUUUUCCUAGCACUACUGCAGCUGCAACUGAGUUUCAGCAACAAAAUGUUCCUCUUAGGGGCUCUUCUUUUGUUUCAAGAACAGGUUAGAACACAUCCUUUGUAAUUUUAUUUUUUGUAGAAAUAUCCCUUGAUACUCUUUGCAUGUGAGUAUAAUUAAAUGAUGCUAAGUUUGUGUUGUGUUUUUCUACUAGCCAACGAGGGUCGCGUUGAUGCUUUACCUGUUACAUUUGACAUGCAAAAGAGUAUAACUUGUCCCUUCUACUCCUUUGAAGUAGGCAAGUAUCGAGGAUGCAACGUUGACUUUUAGACAAUGUCUUUAUUUAUUGCUAAUUUAUUACUUUUUGGCGUUGGGCUCCACGUCACGUGCAUCCAAUGAAAACAGUAGUAUGAGCUCAACAAUGGUUGGAAAAAAAGGUUUGCACCAAUUUUUUAUUAUGAUAGUGUUGUAUAUUACCUAAUUGGUAAUUUUAUGCUAAUGAUACCUAAAUAUACAGGUUAUAACUCAAAAAAAAGUGUUGUACAUACGUAGGACAGUUACAAUCUGAUUAUAUUCCCUUGAAAACUGUUCCUAAUUGUAAAUUUUGUGGUGCAAAAAAAAUUUGAAUAUGAA